This 353-nucleotide ribosomal RNA is filed under the name uncultured bacterium. Its description in RNAcentral is "partial 16S ribosomal RNA". It matches the Rfam family "Bacterial small subunit ribosomal RNA", at positions 338 to 708 of the family's 1533-position model. The record is from RNAcentral.
CCUACGGGUGGCAGCAGUAGGGAAUAUUGCACAAUGGGGGAAACCCUGAAGCAGCAACGCCGCGUGGGGGAUGAAGGUUUUCGGUUUGUAAACUCCUUUCGUCAGAGAAGAUAAUGACGGUAUCUAACUAAUAAGCACCGGCUAACUCCGUGCCAGCAGCCGCGGUAAUACGGAGGGGGCAAGCGUUACUCGGAUUUACUGGGGGUAAAGAGCGCGUAGGCGGGAGUGCAAGUCAGAAGUGAAAUUCUAAGGCUUAACCAUUGGACUGCAUUUGAAACUGUAAGGCUGGAGUGAAGGAGAGGUAAGGGGGAAUGCUUGGGGAGGGGGUAAAUGCGUAGAAAUUAAGAGGAAAA